UACGUAGGCGGUACCGUGUGUCGGAUGUGAAAGUCCAUGGCUCAACUGUGGAAAGCCAUCCGAAACUACGGAACUAGAGUGCAGGAGGGGAGAGUGGAAUUCUUGGUGUAGCGGUGAAAUGCGUUGAUAUCAAGAGGAACACCGGUGGCGAAGGCGACUCUCUGGAAUGUUACUGACGCUGAGGUACGAAAGCGUGGGGAGCAAACA
This 207-nucleotide ribosomal RNA is filed under the name uncultured bacterium. RNAcentral describes it as "partial 16S ribosomal RNA". It matches the Rfam family "Bacterial small subunit ribosomal RNA", at positions 568 to 774 of the family's 1533-position model. The record is from RNAcentral.